UGGUUGCUCACCAGCAGUCUUCUCCAUACCUUGCGUCAUGGAUAAGGCCCAGAAGUUCCUGCAUGCAUUUAAAGGGGUCUUUGACCGCAGCUGUUUGAGAUCCGUGGUUUGCCAUCAGGCACCAUAAGAAGGGAUGAAGUGACUUUCACAGCAGAGGAUAAGGGUGGAUCACCGACACCCAGAGAGGUCUAUAGAGUCAGUGAGAGCUGAGAUGAGGCCAGCCCAGCCAAAGAACACCAUUGUUCCUGACCAAGCUGAGAGAGACUAGACCACAGGUUAAACCAGCUGCCAAUGUCAACUGCAGAGGCCAGCCAGGUGGGCAGCAACAGGACCGCCAAGGAGCACCACAAAAAACAGAGGACACGACAUAGCUCUGAGGACCCACCACUCCACUGCCUUAAGCCCACAACCAUAAGUUCCGUGAGGUUGAGGACCACUUCUGUGUUAUUCAUCAGUUUAUCCUCAGCACCCAGUACAAUGCCCCGCCCAAAGUAAAGCUCCAUUCCUAUUUGUUGAACAGAAGAGUAAAUGAAUGUUUGACUCCUACACAGCCCAAUACAAGCAUCACCUCGCUGCAGAAGCUUUUCCUGACCCCUCCCAGCUAAAUUGGGCUUCCUGGUAUGGUACUCAUCACGGUGUAUUGUGGACAUUGAUUUUUCUCAUAUUUUUCCCCAUCCCCAGGCCAGUUGAUUAUUAAGACAAAGGAUUGUGUUUAUUCUUUGUGCUGACCACAGUGCCUGGCCCCCAUGGCAAGGGGUCCAUACAUGUCUAUUGGAUUAAUGAAAAUUGAAUACAUGAAAACUACCAGGUUCCGUGACAGCUCACAGCUCCAGCUACAAUCGCCUCCAGGAGGACAGAGCUUCAUUCCCCCUUGUAACCCUGCUCCAGCAUAGUGCCGGGCACAGAGAAGCAGCGGCUGUUCUUGACAGUCUUUGGAUAAUUCCAUAUUCAUUCGUUCGUUCGUUCUCUCGCUCACUCGUCUAUCCGUGUAUCUGUUCCCAGAGGCCCAGACUAAAUGGCAUAAACUUCAGCACUCUUUCCUGAAAGAUCCCAAAGCAACUCUUCAGCUUAUUGGCGAGAGGGACUGUCAGCCUCUUAAUACAGAAGAGGACCUGGGGCCCAAGAAAUGGGAGAGGACGUGACCUACAGAAUCAGGAACGAGGGAAGCUCUUAGGCUCCCAUGUGCCCCCUGCUAACCUGGGUCCACAGGAGUCCUUCCACCCUGGCCAGUGACCUCCUCAAAGCCACCGGGAGUCGACUACACGGUGCCGCUCUCUUCCGCUUCUCUCCCCCUCUGACGCGCCCCCC
Molecule: non-coding RNA, 1308 nt
Organism: Equus caballus (horse)
Lineage: Eukaryota; Metazoa; Chordata; Mammalia; Perissodactyla; Equidae
Source: RefSeq, a predicted model, not a curated record